This 596-nucleotide ribosomal RNA is filed under the name Trichosporon asteroides. Its description in RNAcentral is "eukaryotic LSU rRNA". It matches the Rfam family "Eukaryotic large subunit ribosomal RNA", at positions 72 to 659 of the family's 3401-position model. Lineage: Eukaryota; Fungi; Basidiomycota; Tremellomycetes; Trichosporonales; Trichosporonaceae. The record is from RNAcentral.
GGAUUCCCUAGUACGGCGAGUGAAGCGGGAAGAGCUCAAAUUUGAAAUCUGGCAGUCUUCGAUUGUCCGAGUUGUAAUCUAUAGAGGCGUUUUCCGUGCCGGACCGUGUCCAAGUCUCCUGGAAAGGAGUAUCAAAGAGGGUGAUAAUCCCGUACUUAACACGACCACCGGUGCUCUGUGAUACGUCUUCUACGAGUCGAGUUGUUUGGGAAUGCAGCUCAAAAUGGGUGGUGAAUUCCAUCUAAAGCUAAAUAUUGGCGAGAGACCGAUAGCGAACAAGUACCGUGAGGGAAAGAUGAAAAGCACUUUGGAAAGAGAGUUAAACAGUACGUGAAAUUGUUGAAAGGGAAACGAUUGAAGUCAGUCGUGUUCUUUGGAUUCAGCCAGUUCUGCUGGUCUACUUCCUUGGAACGGGUCAACAUCAGUUUUGUCCGGUGGAUAAAGGUAGUAGGAAUGUGACUUCUCCGGAAGUGUUAUAGCCUAUUAUCACAUACACUGGGUGAGACUGAGGACUGCAGCUCGCCUUUAUGGCCGGUCUUCGGACACGUUCGAGCUUAGGAUGUUGACAUAAUGGCUUUAAACGACCCGUCUUGAAA